UACUUCGAUCGAGUGUAAGCGCAGAGUA
RNAcentral lists this small RNA (28 nucleotides) under Bombyx mori (domestic silkworm). RNAcentral's name for it is "ovarian small RNA-21631". The record is from RNAcentral. Lineage: Eukaryota; Metazoa; Arthropoda; Insecta; Lepidoptera; Bombycidae.